Molecule: ribosomal RNA, 392 nt
Filed under: uncultured bacterium
Lineage: Bacteria
Description: partial 16S ribosomal RNA
Rfam family: Bacterial small subunit ribosomal RNA
Source: RNAcentral
AUACGGAGGAUGCGAGCGUUAUCCGGAUUUAUUGGGUUUAAAGGGUGCGUAGGCUGUGCGUUAAGUCAGGGGUGAAAUGCCGUCGCUCAACGACGGAGCUGCCCUUGAUACUGGCGUGCUGAGUACGGAUGCCGGUGGAGGAAUGAGUGGUGUAGCGGUGAAAUGCUUAGAUAUCACUCAGAACCCCGAUUGCGAAGGCAUCUGACGAAUCCGUCACUGACGCUGAGGCACGAAAGCGUGGGGAUAGAACAGGAUUAGAUACCCUGGUAUUCCACGCCGUAAACGAUGAUGACUAACCGUCGGCGAUAGACAGCCGGUGGCCAAGCGAAAGCGAUAAGUCAUCCACCUGGGGAGUACGUCGGCAACGAUGAAACUCAAAUGAAUUGACGGGG